This 395-nucleotide ribosomal RNA is filed under the name uncultured bacterium. RNAcentral's name for it is "bacterial SSU rRNA". It matches the Rfam family "Bacterial small subunit ribosomal RNA", at positions 30 to 426 of the family's 1533-position model. The record is from RNAcentral.
AUUGAACGCUGGCGGCAGGCCUAACACAUGCAAGUCGAGCGGAUGAGUGGAGCUUGCUCCAUGAUUCAGCGGCGGACGGGUGAGUAAUGCCUAGGACUCUGCCUGGUAGUGGGGGACGACGUUUCGAAAGGAACGCUAAUACCGCAUACGUCCUACGGGAGAAAGCAGGGGACCUUCGGGCCUUGCGUUAUCAGAUGAGCCUAGGUCGGAUUAGCUAGUAGGUGAGGUAAUGGCUCACCUAGGCGACGAUCCGUAACUGGUCUGAGAGGAUGAUCAGUCACACUGGAACUGGGACACGGUCCAGACUCCUACGGGAGGCAGCAGUGGGGAAUAUUGGACAAUGGGCGCAAGCCUGAUCCAGCAAUGCCGCGUGCAGGAUGAAGGCCUUCGGUUGU